Molecule: ribosomal RNA, 475 nt
Filed under: uncultured bacterium
Lineage: Bacteria
Description: bacterial SSU rRNA
Rfam family: Bacterial small subunit ribosomal RNA
Source: RNAcentral
GACGAACGCUGGCGGCGUGCCUCAUACAUGCAAGUCGAGCGAAGGCCAUCUCUGGGUAACCAGAGUGAAGCACUGAGCGGCGAACGGGUGAGUAACACGUGACCAACCUGCCCCGGACUCUGGGAUAACCCCGGGAAACUGGAGCUAAUACCGGAUACGCUCCCGCCACCACAUGGCGGUGGGAGGAAAGGUCCGCCGGUCUGGGAUGGGGUCGCGGCCUAUCAGCUUGUUGGUGGGGUAAAGGCCCACCAAGGCUACGACGGGUAGCUGGCCUGAGAGGGUAACCAGCCACACUGGGACUGAGACACGGCCCAGACUCCUACGGGAGGCAGCAGUAGGGAAUAUUGCACAAUGGGCGAAAGCCUGAUGCAGCGACGCCGCGUGCGGGAUGAAGGCCCUUGGGUUGUAAACCGCUUUUGGCAGGGAAGAAGCGAAAGUGACGGUACCUGCAGAAUAAGCCCCGGCCAACUACGUG